This 481-nucleotide ribosomal RNA is filed under the name uncultured bacterium. Its description in RNAcentral is "partial 16S ribosomal RNA". It matches the Rfam family "Bacterial small subunit ribosomal RNA", at positions 28 to 507 of the family's 1533-position model. The record is from RNAcentral.
GAUGAACGCUGGCGGCGUGCUUAACACAUGCAAGUCGAACGAAGCACUUUAUUUGAUUUCCUUCGGGACUGAUUAUUUUGUGACUGAGUGGCGGACGGGUGAGUAACGCGUGGGUAACCUGCCUUGUACAGGGGGAUAACAGUUGGAAACGGCUGCUAAUACCGCAUAAGCGCCCAGCAUCGCAUGAUGCAGUGUGAAAAACUCCGGUGGUAUAAGAUGGACCCGCGUUGGAUUAGCUAGUUGGUGAGGGAACGGCCCACCAAGGCGACGAUUCAUAGCCGACCAGAGAGGGUGACCGGCCACAUUGGGACUGAGACACGGCCCAAACUCCUACGGGAGGCAGCAGUGGGGAAUAUUGCAAAAUGGGCGAAAGCCUGAUGCAGCGACGCCGCGUGAGCGAAGAAGUAUUUCGGUAUGUAAAGCUCUAUCAGCAGGGAAGAUAAUGACGGUACCUGACGAAGAAGCACCGGCUAAAUACGUG